This 253-nucleotide ribosomal RNA is filed under the name uncultured bacterium. Its description in RNAcentral is "partial 16S ribosomal RNA". It matches the Rfam family "Bacterial small subunit ribosomal RNA", at positions 524 to 776 of the family's 1533-position model. The record is from RNAcentral.
UACGGAGGGUGCAAGCGUUAUCCGGAUUCACUGGGUUUAAAGGGUGCGUAGGUGGGUCUGUAAGUCAGUGGUGAAAUCUCCGUGCUUAACAUGGAAACUGCCAUUGAUACUAUAGGUCUUGAAUUUUCUGGAGGUCAGCGGAAUAUGUCAUGUAGCGGUGAAAUGCUUAGAUAUGACAUAGAACACCAAUUGCGAAGGCAGCUGGCUACAGGGAUACUGACACUGAGGCACGAAAGCGUGGGGAUCAAACAGG